UGGGGAAUAUUGGGCAAUGGAGGGAACUCUGACCCAGCGACGCCGCGUGCGGGAUGAAGGCCUUCGGGUUGUAAACCGCUUUCAGCAAGGAAGAAGCGAAAGUGACGGUACUUGCAGAAGAAGCACCGGCUAACUAUGUGCCAGCAGCCGCGGUAAUACAUAGGGUGCAAGCGUUGUCCGGAAUUAUUGGGCGUAAAGAGCUCGUAGGUGGUUCGUCACGUCGGAUGUGAAAAUCUGGGGCUUAACCCCAGACCUGCAUUCGAUACGGGCGAGCUAGAGUGUGGUAGGGGAGACUGGAAUUCCUGGUGUAGCGGUGGAAUGCGCAGAUAUCAGGAGGAACACCAAUGGCGAAGGCAGGUCUCUGGGCCAUUACUGACACUGAGGAGCGAAAGCGUGGGGAGACGAACAGGAUU
This 413-nucleotide ribosomal RNA is filed under the name actinobacterium SCGC AAA023-J06. RNAcentral's name for it is "bacterial SSU rRNA". It matches the Rfam family "Bacterial small subunit ribosomal RNA", at positions 355 to 779 of the family's 1533-position model. Lineage: Bacteria; Bacillati; Actinomycetota; Actinomycetes. The record is from RNAcentral.